RNAcentral lists this ribosomal RNA (460 nucleotides) under uncultured bacterium. RNAcentral describes it as "partial 16S ribosomal RNA". It matches the Rfam family "Bacterial small subunit ribosomal RNA", at positions 338 to 795 of the family's 1533-position model. The record is from RNAcentral.
CCUACGGGGCGCAGCAGUGAGGAAUAUUGGUCAAUGGCCGGAAGGCUGAACCAGCCAUGCCGCGUGAAGGUCAGUGCACUAUGGGCGUUAAACUUCUUUUGUGCGGGAGCAAUAAUGGUCACGUGUGGCCAGACGAGAGUACCGUACGAAUAAGCAUCGGCUAACUACGUGCCAGCAGCCGCGGUCAUACGGGGGAUGCAAGCGUUAUCGGGAUUUAUUGGGUUUAAAGGGUGCGUAGGCUGUGAGGUAAGUCAGCGGUGAAAUGCCCCCGCUCAACGGGGUGAAGUGCCAUUGAUACUGCCGUGCUGGAAUGCGGAUGCCGUGGGAGGAAUGUGUGGUGUAGCGGUGAAAUGCAUAGAUAUCACACAGAACACCGAUUGCGAAGGCAUCUCACGAAUCCGCGAUUGACGCUGAUGCACGAAAGCGUGGGUAUCAAACAGGAUUAGAUACCCCAGUAGUC